Molecule: long non-coding RNA, 5113 nt
Organism: Equus caballus (horse)
Lineage: Eukaryota; Metazoa; Chordata; Mammalia; Perissodactyla; Equidae
Source: Ensembl
GGAAUGUACACCACUUACCCACCCAACGGUUGAUGACUAAAGCCUCCAUCAAGACCAACCAACAAUUUUUAGUGGAAUUACAACACAGACUUCUUCAUAAAAAAGAUAGAAAUUAGAAACUCUAAAGCUCAAUUCAGAAAUCAUCCUGUCAAGGAUCUACAGGUUGAAAAAAUAAGAAUAAACAGCUAAGAGUUUUUUGUUAUUAAAAAAAGUGCAUAGCCCUUUUCCACAACAAAAAACAUUGACUUAGAAGAUUUUAUACCAACCAAUAAAAUACAAGGCCCUGAGAAGAUGGACAAAAAAACCUAAAAGCUUUACUGAAAUUAUAGGGUCAAAGUAAAGCAGUAGGAAAAUAAGUUGGGGAAUCAUCAUUGAUGCUAACUGGAAGAGUUCGCUUUGUUCUGUGGAAUUCUCCUGCUUUGUCUUUUGUCAAGACUUCAACCUUGCUUCCUUCUAGAAGAGGAACCUAAGAAGGUUUCCACAUUUUAUAUCCUGAGGGUGAAGUUGUACCAUGUCUGGCACCCCUGCUACACAGAUCAAGAAGGACAUGGAGCCAGCAGGUGCCUUAAAGAACAAGAACAUUUUUUUAAAAGAUUUUAUUUUUUCCUUUUUCUCCCCAAAGCCCCCCAGUACAUAGUUGCAUAUUCUUUGUUGUGGGUCCUUCUAGUUGUGACAUGUGGGACGCUGCCUCAGCGUGGCUCGAUGAGCAGUGCCAUGUCCGCGCCCAGGACCCGAACCAACGAAACACUGGGCUGCCUGCAGCGGAGUGCACAGACUUAACCACUCGGCCACGGGGCCAGCCCCAAGAACAAGAACAUUUUCAGAAUUCUUUGCGGUAAAUGUUCUGAUGAAAGAAGAAGAGAGGUCAUGUGACAGGAAGUAUGAACACUAUAAACUGAGAUUCUUCUGUCCUUUCAUAAUUACAAUAAUUCACUAAAAAAGCCCUCAAUAUUUUCUAAUACAAAGUAGAAGAUCUAAUUCAAAGGAGGUAGAGGUUGAGCUGACAGAGUCACUAGAAGCAGUAUGUGCCAUUUGCUAAUGUCUCAUUAUAGAAAAUAGUCUCCCACAUUUUUCUCAUAAUUUGAUUUUAAACCACUGAAACAUAGAGACUAUAUUUUUUAAUUCAAUUUUGACUGAUUUCUCCCUUAGACCUCUGUAAAGGGUAAACUAUAUGCUCACUAAUCUUUGCAUUGGGUCCAUAUUAUGUGGCAAGGUAGCCAAGGAUAAGACCCAUUCAGACAAUAAUUUACAAAAAAUGCUCAGUAACACAAGGGUAACUGGAAAUGUCUAGUUUCUGUAUCUUUCACUAAUAAUGAGAAGCCCUUUUUAACUUGUAGUAUUAUAAACAUGGCAAAAUAAUCCAUUUCUUAUCAUUAGACUCAGUAUGGCAUUAUCUACAUGACUGUAGUUUACCAAGCAGCCGUUACCUCAAUAGGUAUUUUUGAGGUCUUUUAAUUAUUGAAUGUCUAAAACCCUCUAUCUUCAAUUUCCUGUAGUUUGAAUAUGAUACUCCUAGGUGUAGGUGGUCUUUUUGGCAUUUAUCCUGUUUGGAGCUCUCUGAGCUUCUUGUAACUGUGGUUUGGUAUCUGACAUUAAUUUGGGGAAAUUCGCAGUCAUUAUUGUUUCAAAUAUUUCUUCUGUUCCUUCCUGGCUUCUCCUUCUAGUAUUCCCUCUACACGUACGUUACACCUUUUGUAGCUGUCCCAGAGUUCUUGGAUAUUCUCUUCUAGUUCUGUUUUAGUCUUUUUUCUCGCUGCCUUUCAGUUUUAGAGGUUUCUAAUGAGAUCUCUUCAAGCGCCGAGAUUCUUUCCUCAGCUGGACCCAGUCUACUAAUAAUUAGCCCAUCAAAGGCAUUCUUCUUGUCUGUUACAGUGUCUUUGAUCUCUAACACUUCUUUUUGAUUCUUUCUUAGGGUUCAUCUCUCUGCUGAUAUUGCCCAUUUGCAUUCUAUCUGCUUUAUCCAUUAGAGCCCUUAGCAUAUUUAUCAUAGUUGUUUUAAAUUCCUGGUCUGAUAAUUCCAACCUCUCUGCCAUAUUACAGUCUGGUUCUGGUACUUGCUUUGUCUCGUCAAACUGUGCUUUCUGCUUUUUAGUAUGCCUUGUAAUUUUUUCUUUAUAGCUGGACAUGAGGUACUGGAUAAAAGGAACUGCCAUGAAUAGGCCUUUAGUGAAAUGGUGGUGAGGUGUGGGACAGGAGAAACACUCUAUAGUCCUGUGAUUAGGUCUCAGUCUUGUAGUGAGCCUACACCUCUGGACUGUGAACUUCACAAGUGCUUCUUAGUCCCCCCUCCACCUUAGGUGGGAAAGGAUGACUAGGUGGACUGGAGUUGGGUGUUUCCAUUCCCCAGCUCAGUCAGGCCCUGAUAAAACCCCAGCAAGUUGGGCUUCGGUUAGUUUCUUGAAGGCAGCCCUUGUUAAGAACAGAAUGCUCUGACAUAUUUCAAAAUGGUUCCUUUUCCCAUGCCCCUGCCAGCAGCAUUAAGGGAUUUUUCUCUGCUAUUCUCUAUAAGGAUCUAGGAGGUAAAACUCACAAAAAUGUGGGGGCCCCUUCUGUGUCUGGGCCCCUGGAGUUUUUAACUCUCAGACUUGUCCACACUGAAUCUCCAGCAAUUCCUCAGUUACAGUUCAGGUUUUCCCAUCCGGGCACUGGUUCCCAGUGAUGUUUCUAUUUGUGGGUUUCUGCUCCAAUAAGUUCUGAUUUUCUAUAUUCACUUGUAGUCUCUCUAAUUUUGAAGGCAGUGGUUUGUCCUGUGACCUCAUUUCUGUUACAGGUCUAAGAAGAAUGUUUGAUUUUUCAGUUUGUUCGGCUUUUAAUUUGUUAUUAGGACAAAGUGUGUGGACAAAGCGUGGCAACUUCCAAGCUUCUUACACGCCAGAGCAACCCAGUACUCUUUACUAAGCAAUUGACAUAUGUUGUCUCAUAAAACCCCCACAACACUCUGUUACAAAGUGUCCUUAGCCCCAUAUCAAAGCUGAGGAAACCAAAGUUUACAACAACUAAUUGUCUUAACCAGGAUAUCCCAGGUAGUAACUCUCAUCAACCUGAGAAUGUCUAGUCCCAAAGCUGCUAUGCUAUGUCUUUGCACCCACUCUCACUUUCUCUUCCACUGUUCUAUUUUGCAUUAUCUUCUGAUUUAUUUCCUAAAGUAGUUAACAACUCAAGCUUUGAAGUCAGAAAACCUUAAGAUAAUAUAAAGUUACAUACAGCUUUAAGAAUCAUUGAAGUUACUUAAACCCCAAUUUUCUUAUCUAUAAAAUGAGAAAAAUAAUCAUCAUGCAGAGGCAUUUUAGAGGAAAAUAUGCAGAGAUAGUGAGAGCAAUAUAUCCAAUAAAUGGAUUCAUAUAUCUAUAUCCAUAAUUAUAUCUAUAUCCGUAUGUGUGUCUUAAGUGCUUAGUACAUAUAUGUUAGCCACUAUCUGGUAAACACCACCUAUUUACCCCUAAUCCAUAUUAUUUCAAACCAGACCACUCACCUCUACCCUUCAUGCUCUCCUCCAGUGCAAAGUGGUUCUGUUAUUAUCUGCUAGAAGUCCCUGUCUUACUGAGUUCCACAGCUUUAGGUGAAAACAGUAUCUUCUAGACUGUGAGUUGACUGGAAGACCAUUCUUUAUUUAACAAAAAUACGGUUGCUGACUGUCUCUAAAAACCAAAACAGUACCUCACUGCCCAACCCACAGCUGCAGAAGAUAUUAUUGUUAAUAAUAAUACUAUGCUUAGAUAACAGCUGCUAUUUAUAAAGCACUUACUAUUGACAAGCCGAAUGUUCCACACUGAACAAGGAUAAUCUCGCUCAAUUUAUCCAGGCUGGUUAUUGACUCCCGGAGAUUUUGCUAUGUAACUGUUUCAUGCCUACUUAUGCUUAAGUUGUAGGAGAAAAUUAGAGAGAAGGGGCAGGGAAUAAAGAACAUUUAACUCUCAUUAAGGAAUCUUGGAUCUGGAGUUUUAAGCAAGGGACUUCUCCUUCUACCCUUUGGUGGACUAGAUUCUCCAAAGCGGCCUCCUUUUCCAAACCACCAGAUCCUACCACAUUAGAAUAAGCACAUUGUGGAUUUUGGUUCCGGAAAAGCACCCGAUUGUGGAACAUGAACUGUGCUCUGACUGCCACCCAGGAGAAAUGUUCACAACUGGCCUUGAUGACGGCAUCCUGCAACGGGUACUGGCCAUGUUUGUUUUCUUUUGGGCUCACUGAUAUUCCAAAAAAGGACUUGGAUUUUAUUUUCCUUACCACCUUGCCACCAUGUCUUUGAUUACUCAUGACGUGUCUGAAGUGACAAACUUGAUUAUGUGUCAUCAGGAUAUGUGUCACGUCUUUUGUUAGAGGCUGGAUUUAAUACAUUUGCCAAAUCAUAGUCUUCUUUUCCACAAGACUGAGUGAUUUUGAAUUUAUCAUUCCUAAGAUGUCUUUGUUAUUUCAAACUGAAAUGCUUUGUUCUUCCUUGAUUACAAAAAAUAACCUGUAAAGCCUUAAACAGGAAGAUCAUUAAAGUCAUAUUCUUGAGUGAAGAGAUAGCCCCUGGUUUAAAGAGAAAUACAUUUCCUGAAAGGGCAAUACAUCAACCAAUUAGCGCUUCCUAACUAGUUUGAGUUUGGUAAUCAGAUUAAACAGAGCCGUUGAUGAGGGAAGGAGGGAGAACGAAGAGAAAGUUGCAAAGUAUGGCACACUGGCCAGGAAGAUAAAAAUGAGGAGCUAAAAAGUUGGACCUUUGGAUACAGUGGAUUGGCAAUGUGAAAGUUAAGAGAUGCACUAAUACAACAUCCACAAGAAUAAUUCUCAAUAUUUCACAAUUUUGCCUAAGGCUAACCCUGAAAGACCAAAACAUAUCUCAGAAAGGUUGUCAAUAAUGCAGGAGAAUUUCUACUUUAUUUUACUAACUGAAGCAAGUAAAGGAGGUGUGCUGAGCUACGUUUGAGGGAUGUUUUCUUCCUCUAGUGUUUGUGAAAGUAUCAAGUAAAUGCUAAAUUUUUUUCCAACUUCUUUCUGAAUAUGUUUCCACUUCCUGUUUAGGAGUCCUAGAGACCUCAAGCUUUAAUUCAUAGUUGUGAUGUCGAUGCAAUUCAAAGGACAGGCAGAUGAGCUAUCUUGCUCCUGUUAAGGUAGUACCUUUAGAAAACAA